CCCUUAGAUGUCCUGGGCCGCACGCGCGUUACACUGACGCAUUCAACGAGCUUAUAACCUUGGCCGAGAGGCCUGGGCAAUCUUGUUAACGUGCAUCGUGAUAGGGAUAGAUUAUUGAAAUUAUUAAUCUUGAACGAGGAAUUCCUAGUAAACGCAGAUCAUCAAUCUGCAUUGAUUACGUCCCUGCCCUUUGUACACACCGCCCGUCGCACCUACCGAUUGGAUGGUCCGGUGAAGCCUCGGGAUUGUGGUUCUUGCCGCUUUGUUGUGGCGUGACCGCGAGAACUUGUCUAAACCUUAUCAUCUAGAGGAAGGUGAAGUCGUAACA
RNAcentral lists this ribosomal RNA (328 nucleotides) under uncultured eukaryote. Its description in RNAcentral is "partial 18S ribosomal RNA". It matches the Rfam family "Eukaryotic small subunit ribosomal RNA", at positions 1470 to 1796 of the family's 1831-position model. The record is from RNAcentral.